CCGUGAUGUUUAGCUACAGUUAGCGGCAUGUCUCCGCUACGGCAACGUCACAUCACAUCGGAAAUACUCAAACGCCUAUUGAAUGGACAGCCAUUACAUUUUGAAUUCUUCAUUUUCUCUACACAGCAGGUGCAGCGACAAAGCAACCGAAGUGGAGGAGGAAGAACAAGCGCUGCUGCUCUGUGGCCGCAGCUCACCGUGCCACAAAUGCACCACCACGAUUCACGUUCAUCGCGCACAGCUUGACUGCAUGGCGAGGCCUGCACAAACUGCGCGGUGGCCGCGAUCUUAAGAGGUUCACUGCGCGCGAGACGGGUUCAAUAUGAAUUUGGAGGCGUGCCGAAAUCAUGUUUGCAGGCAGAGACUCGUCAUCUUCUCAUGAAAUCCUUCAUCCAUUGCUUUUUACAUGAAUUCACAAUAUGAUGCUAACGCCAUGUUGCAGAAGCCACGUUGGCCAGUACAUUCUGCAACAUUUUGUUUUGUUUCAGCAGAAUUCAAUCUUCUUUGCCGGAGUAACUAAGCAGCAACGCGUCCACCAAGUUGGCAACCAAAGAUUUAAGCGUUUUGAUGCAGUUUAAUCAUUGGUAGGAGCCGAGGUUGAAAACAACAUUUUCUUUUCUUUUAAUGCGUAAGUGUUUUCAACCCAAACGGCCGGCUAAUAAGGCCGCAUCGCUCUUGGGUUCAAGGUUCGGUGGAAGGUAAGAUCUGGUUGGUAAAUCUGAAGUAACUUCACAAACAGAAAAAGUGUGAAAAUGGGCACAGACAAACUUGGCGACCAAGGGGAAUGAUGCAAAUCCAAACAGACAAACAGACAUAGCAGCUGGUAAGUAGACACUCAGACAGACAGGUUCACAUUAGGGAUAAACGAGCGGG
Molecule: long non-coding RNA, 873 nt
Organism: Gasterosteus aculeatus aculeatus (three-spined stickleback)
Lineage: Eukaryota; Metazoa; Chordata; Actinopteri; Perciformes; Gasterosteidae
Source: Ensembl